RNAcentral lists this ribosomal RNA (254 nucleotides) under uncultured bacterium. RNAcentral's name for it is "partial 16S ribosomal RNA". It matches the Rfam family "Bacterial small subunit ribosomal RNA", at positions 524 to 776 of the family's 1533-position model. The record is from RNAcentral.
UACGUAGGGUGCAAGCGUUGUCCGGAAUUAUUGGGCGUAAAGAGCUCGUAGGCGGUCUGUCGCGUCUGCUGUGAAAACUCAGGGCUUAACCCUGAGCUUGCAGUGGGUACGGGCAGACUAGAGUGCGGUAGGGGAGACUGGAAUUCCUGGUGUAGCGGUGAAAUGCGCAGAUAUCAGGAGGAACACCGGUGGCGAAGGCGGGUCUCUGGGCCGUAACUGACGCUGGAGGAGCGAAAGCGUGGGGAGCGAACAGG